CGAGACCUCAGGUCAGGCGGGGCUACCCGCU
RNAcentral lists this ribosomal RNA (31 nucleotides) under Glycine tomentella. RNAcentral's name for it is "partial 26S ribosomal RNA". RNAcentral also lists the same sequence under 1 other name. The record is from RNAcentral. Lineage: Eukaryota; Viridiplantae; Streptophyta; Magnoliopsida; Fabales; Fabaceae.